RNAcentral lists this ribosomal RNA (537 nucleotides) under uncultured archaeon. RNAcentral's name for it is "bacterial SSU rRNA". It matches the Rfam family "Archaeal small subunit ribosomal RNA", at positions 102 to 642 of the family's 1478-position model. The record is from RNAcentral.
AGUCAACAUGCCCAGGGGACGUGGAUAACCUCGGGAAACUGAGGAUAAACCGCGAUAGGUCACUACUUCUGGAAUGGGUAAUGACCCAAACCUAUAUGGCCCCUGGAUUGGACUGCGGCCGAUCAGGCUGUUGGUGAGGUAAUGGCCCACCAAACCUGUAACCGGUACGGGCUCUGAGAGGAGGAGCCCGGAGAUGGGCACUGAGACAAGGGCCCAGGCCCUAUGGGGCGCAGCAGGCGCGAAACCUCUGCAAUAGGCGAAAGCUUGACAGGGUUACUCUGAGUGAUUUCCGUUAAGGAGAUCUUUUGGCACCUCUAAAAAUGGUGCAGAAUAAGGGGUGGGCAAGUCUGGUGUCAGCCGCCGCGGUAAUACCAGCACCCCGAGUGGUCGGGACGUUUAUUGGGCCUAAAGCAUCCGUAGCCGGUUCUACAAGUCUUCCGUUAAAUCCACCUGCUCAACAGAUGGGCUGCGGAAGAUACUAUGGAGCUAGGAGGCGGGAGAGGCAAGCGGUACUCGAUGGGUAGGGGUAAAAUCCGU